GUCUUAAUUGGGCGUUAAGUUGCAGGGUAUAGACCCGAAACCCGGUGAUCUAGCCAUGGGCAGGUUGAAGGUUGGGUAACACUAACUGGAGGACCGAACCGACUAAUGUUGAAAAAUUAGCGGAUGACCUGUGGCUGGGGGUGAAAGGCCAAUCAAACCGGGAGAUAGCUGGUUCUCCCCGAAAGCUAUUUAGGUAGCGCCUCGUGAAUUCAUCUCCGGGGGUAGAGCACUGUUUCGGCUAGGGGGCCAUCCCGGCUUACCAACCCGAUGCAAACUGCGAAUACCGGAGAAUGUUAUCACGGGAGACACACGGCGGGUGCUAACGUCCGUCGUGAAGAGGGAAACAACCCAGACCGCCAGCUAAGGUCCCAAAGUCAUGGUUAAGUGGGAAACGAUGUGGGAAGGCCCAGACAGCCAGGAUGUUGGCUUAGAAGCAGCCAUCAUUUAAAGAAAGCGUAAUAGCUCACUGGUCGAGUCGGCCUGCGCGGAAGAUGUAACGGGGCUAAACCAUGCACCGAAGCUGCGGCAGCGACGUUUAUGCGUUGUUGGGUAGGGGAGCGUUCUGUAAGCCUGCGAAGGUGGCCUGUGAGGGUUGCUGGAGGUAUCAGAAGUGCGAAUGCUGACAUAAGUAACGAUAAAGCGGGUGAAAAGCCCGCUCGCCGGAAGACCAAGGGUUCCUGUCCAACGUUAAUCGGGGCAGGGUGAGUCGACCCCUAAGGCGAGGCCGAAAGGCGUAGUCGAUGGGAAACGGGUUAAUAUUCCCGUACUUGGUGUUACUGCGAAGGGGGGACGGAGAAGGCUAUGUUGGCCGGGCGACGGUUGUCCCGGUUUAAGCGUGUAGGUGUGUGUUCCAGGUAAAUCCGGUUCACUUUAACACUGAGGCGUGACGACGAGGCACUACGGUGCUGAAGCAACAAAUGCCCUGCUUCCAGGAAAAGCCUCUAAGCAUCAGGUAACAUCAAAUCGUACCCCAAACCGACACAGGUGGUCAGGUAGAGAAUACCAAGGCGCUUGAGAGAACUCGGGUGAAGGAACUAGGCAAAAUGGUGCCGUAACUUCGGGAGAAGGCACGCUGACACGUAGGUGAAGUGAUUUACUCAUGGAGCUGAAGUCAGUCGAAGAUACCAGCUGGCUGCAACUGUUUAUUAAAAACACAGCACUGUGCAAACACGAAAGUGGACGUAUACGGUGUGACGCCUGCCCGGUGCCGGAAGGUUAAUUGAUGGGGUCAGCGCAAGCGAAGCUCCUGAUCGAAGCCCCGGUAAACGGCGGCCGUAACUAUAACGGUCCUAAGGUAGCGAAAUUCCUUGUCGGGUAAGUUCCGACCUGCACGAAUGGCGUAAUGAUGGCCAGGCUGUCUCCACCCGAGACUCAGUGAAAUUGAACUCGCUGUGAAGAUGCAGUGUACCCGCGGCAAGACGGAAAGACCCCGUGAACCUUUACUAUAGCUUGACACUGAACAUUGAGCCUUGAUGUGUAG
RNAcentral lists this ribosomal RNA (1480 nucleotides) under Salmonella enterica subsp. enterica serovar Bovismorbificans. Its description in RNAcentral is "partial 23S ribosomal RNA". It matches the Rfam family "Bacterial large subunit ribosomal RNA", at positions 681 to 2141 of the family's 2925-position model. The record is from RNAcentral. Lineage: Bacteria; Pseudomonadati; Pseudomonadota; Gammaproteobacteria; Enterobacterales; Enterobacteriaceae.